This 253-nucleotide ribosomal RNA is filed under the name uncultured bacterium. Its description in RNAcentral is "partial 16S ribosomal RNA". It matches the Rfam family "Bacterial small subunit ribosomal RNA", at positions 524 to 776 of the family's 1533-position model. The record is from RNAcentral.
GACGUAGGGAGCAAGCGUUGACCGGAAUUACUGGGCGUAAAGAGCUCGUAGGCGGGAGCGUGCGUCUGAAAGGAAAUCUCAGGGCUCAACUCUGGGGCUUUUUCAGAUACGGAGCUUCUUGAGUGUAACAGAGGAAAGCAGAAUUCCCGGUGUAGCGGUGAAAUGCGUAGAUAUCGGGAGGAAUACCAGUGGCGAAGGCGGCUUUCUGGGUUACCACUGACGCUGAGGAGCGAAAGCGUGGGGAGCGAACGGG